RNAcentral lists this long non-coding RNA (2701 nucleotides) under Mus musculus (house mouse). RNAcentral describes it as "long non-coding RNA chr2:68119991-68122692". The record is from RNAcentral. Lineage: Eukaryota; Metazoa; Chordata; Mammalia; Rodentia; Muridae.
CUUUGAGGUGUUCUGGGGAAUCUGUGGCUGAGAUCCGUGGGAAGGAAGACUAGGGAAGCCAAGUUGGGAUCCCAUUGAUGCCACAAAUUUAUAUGGACCAUUUGAACAGGCAUCUCAUUUUUGAUGUGCAUCUGUAUGCUCACUUGUAAAAUGGCUAAAAAGAAAAAUCUACCUCACAGGUACUGUGAGAGCAAAUCACAUUUGCUAAUAAGUAUUUUGAGAUCUUUUAGUUUAAGAGGUGCUACAUAAUGCCAUGUAUCAUGCAUGAUGCUAAAUGCUAAAAUGAUUUACAGUAAUGAUAAAGAUGGUUAUCCAUUGUGGCAGCAUCAUCCUAAUAUAACAAUUUACCAAAAUAAAGAUUGACUGUGAACUAUCAGCGUACCUAAUUCUUCCAAGACUUGAUGUUUCCUUGGCUAUAAGUUAGUUGAUUGGGGAAGCUUCAGUUUCUCCCCCACACUCUCUCAUUUUGGUGAAGAAUUUUUCACUUCAGUGUGUUGCCUUGGCAUCCCAAGAUGUUUAAAGCAAAAAAAAAAAAAUCUAUUUUGCUUUGGGGAGGAGCUUUGCAUAGGUCUUGCAAAACACAACUUAAAUCGUAGGAAACAUUUGCCCCGUAUUCUUAAAACUCUUUAGAACAAGUAGGGCUAAUCUACUCCCUCAGAGGACGAAUAAGCACUCAGCAAAUCUCCACAGUGGCACAUCUACCGUUGAUGCACCACUCCUUGUCGUGAUGCAAAGAAAGCUGGAAAAGUUGCUCAUUUGAGCUAUUUUCUUUGCACCUUGACCUCUGCAAAACCCCCAUAGAAGCUGAUAGUAAUGGGGAGUCAAAGGAGUAAACGGAGUCCCAUGAUCACGUAAUCCCUUGCUAGGAAACACUUAUAUUUUAUCAUCCCCAAAGUACUGACUAAUAUAGGGCUUCCCAUCCUUUAAUAUGAUGGUGUCAAGUGACCUGGGAGAAGAUGAAGCAAGACAAGGUGAGCCACCGUCCCACCAUCUAGCCUCAAACCCUAUGAGCUCCAAUGGCUGGCUAGCCUCCCACCCUCGGGCCUCUUUGGCCUCGCAGCAGCAAAGCUGAAUGCAGUCUCUGUCUCCUGCCCUGGCCUUGCAUCUCGUCCAUGCUCAGCCCAGCCACUUUCCAUGUCCAAAAUCACACACUAUAAUAACCACAUCUGUACAUCUAUGAAUUGCUUUAUAUGUGUGUGCGAAGUAUGUAUAGAGCCCUAAUCUUGAAAAGGAGCAAAAAAAAUCAACCAGAAAAUCACUUGUCUUAAAGGACUGUUUCUUAACUUUUUUUAUGCUACAUAAUGCCCGUAUGACAAACAUGUAAAUAGACAUCCAAGAGUUCAUGUACAUAUUUUAAAGGCGCUUUUCUUGUCACCUCAAUUGUAUGUACGGCUAGAACCUGCUUGAUAUGUAACAUUUUCCUCUGCAUGGAACUUGACGAGGCAAGGCCAUUUGUCCAGUAUCUCAAUAGCCUUAAGCAUGUUUGUUCGCUCUUUGGGUUUUUUUUUUUUUUUUUGGAUGUUCAAAAAGAAAAAAAAUGGUUAAUUUGUCAAGGAAAAGCUCUAAUUUUCUACUUUUGUUAAUUCUAUGACAAGAAGCUGGUCAAAUUAUUGUCAUGGUUAUUUAUUAAGCCAUUUAUAACAUUUGUUUAAGAACAAUAUUUCAUAAUAAUGGCAGUAUUCUGGGGCUGGGGGUUUUCACUCAGUGGUAAAGCACUUGCCUAGCAUGCAAAGGGCUUUGGGUUCAGUCCUCAGCACUGCAAUAAUACAGUUAAAAUAAUGUCAGCCCUACUGUGCCAGAAGUCACUCAAAGAAUUUUUCUAAGUACUGUCUGGUUCCCCAUUAUUUCUCCAUUAUGUACUGUAUAACGUCAGCACCUAACCUUUAAAGUUUCUUCUUGUAUUUCUUAGAGGAAAAGAUGCUUUCUCUUUGGUGCCUCAUUUAUGUGGCUUUGUGACCCCCUUGGAGCAGUUUCAAUCUACAACAAUGUACUUUUAAAUAACCAGAUUCAAAACAUGAAGAUCAUUUUUUGAUUUGAAUUAAAUAUGGAAGGGCAAAACCCCUUGUGUGAUAAGAAAUGGAGGGGAAACAAACUCUUUACAGAGAAGUCACAGAAGGAGUUUUUCAAUCAAAUUUCUUCUAACAAAAGACAAUGGGAUAUUUAUGUACAGUGUGUGGAAUUCAUUUUCUACCUUUCCUAAUAUGUGCGUUCAAAGCGGGGAAUUGAUUGUAUCAUUUCUGUAAAGGGGAAGAUACUUUUUAUAAGCCACAGGUAACUUGUGAAUGAAAGACGAAAUUCACUGGAGACGCUUGAUGAUAAUUGACAUUUAGGUAUAUUGUUAUAUAUGACUGAUUGUAUUUAUGUAUUUAUUUGCUCAAAAUUGUACAUAUGGUUUUGCCAAAAGUAACUGUGUGUUAAAGUGCACUCUUUGGGUUUGUAGUACUAUUUAGGGUUACAAGGGUUGCCAAUCAAGCUGCUAAUCAGAAUACUAUUUUUUUGUAUCGGUGUUACAACAUGUGACGAAUAGACGACACUGUCUUUUCAUUCAUCCUCUUUCCCUUCGUCUUGAAAUGUAAAAUGUUGGUUGAAAGCACGAUGCAAUUGUACAGGCCCAUCUGUCAAGAGGAAGAUCAUGGUUUCAUAAGACUGAUUUUUUUUUUUUAAAAACACCUGGGACAAAUAAACAGAAGAAGAACUCAGC